AAGACCUUGCGCUUUUGGAGCGGCCGAUGCCUGAUUAGCUAGUUGGUGGGGUAAAGGCCUACCAAGGCGUCGAUCAGUAGUUGGUCUGAGAGGACGACCAGCCACACUGGGACUGAGACACGGCCCAGACUCCUACGGGAGGCAGCAGUGGGGAAUUUUGGACAAUGGGCGCAAGCCUGAUCCAGCAAUGCCGCGUGAGUGAAGAAGGCCUUCGGGUUGUAAAGCUCUUUCAGUCGAGAAGAAAAGAUUACGACUAAUAAUCGUAAUUCAUGACGGUACCGACAGAAGAAGCACCGGCUAACUACGUGCCAGCAGCCGCGGUAAUACGUAGGGUGCGAGCGUUAAUCGGAAUUACUGGGCGUAAAGGGUGCGCAGGCGGCUUUGUAAGUCAGAUGUGAAAUCCCCGGGCUUAACCUGGGAAACU
Molecule: ribosomal RNA, 424 nt
Filed under: uncultured bacterium
Lineage: Bacteria
Description: bacterial SSU rRNA
Rfam family: Bacterial small subunit ribosomal RNA
Source: RNAcentral